Molecule: long non-coding RNA, 1548 nt
Organism: Misgurnus anguillicaudatus (oriental weatherfish)
Lineage: Eukaryota; Metazoa; Chordata; Actinopteri; Cypriniformes; Cobitidae
Source: RefSeq, a predicted model, not a curated record
CAUAGCACCAUAGCGACAUGCUAACAUGCUAACAAUUAAAACAACUUAGCAACAGCAUGGUAACACCCUGGUCACCACCUUGGUCAUGGCCAUGAGCAUACACUACUCAGUUUAAACUAAUGUAAAGAUCUAAUUUUCUAAUAAUAUGCAUUAAAAGAGAAAAAGUGAAAUUAAACGUAAAAUUAUAUUUGCAUUACGCAACAUGUCACUCUUUAUAGAAUAGCAGAAAAACGUACAGUACUAUGAGCAAUGCUAAAUUUGACUGACUAUACUCUCAACAUCUCCUGUACUCAAAUAAUGUAUCAGACAUCUCAAUGAAAUUUAGAAGACACACUUCAAACAUAACUUAUCCUGCCAGAAACCUGACUUGAUAUAUGAUGAUAGUGAAUCAUUUGUCAUAAACCACUAGAUGUUAGGUGAUGAAUGGAGUUGUUAGAGAGAUUCUGUGCUGAAGAGCAGACAAGAAGAAGAGAAACAGAGCAGUCGACGGCUCUGAACUUUGAUCCGAAAAUCACUUUAGUGAACCGUUGCAGAAAUGGACUUUGGGAAGUGCUGCUAUAAUCUCUCCCGAUGCAGAAUACAAGUGUUGUGAAAAUUAAGUGAAAAACCUCCUUGAUGGUGUGUGUGCGGGGCGGCAGUCAGACAGUUCGGCUGAGCCAAAGUUUAAGAGGAUGGUAAUUAUGCACCUCUAACAGGACUGUGGUUCCCAUCUCCAGACCAAGUGACCAAGACAGUUCAGAGAGUAAGCGGCUGUGACUUGAAGCAAGUCAAGGAUCAGAGAUGUGCCCUGAGGACAGGAUCAAUUGUCAAGAAGAGCUGACUGGAGCUAACACACACCGACAGGUCUCAUCAAAGAAACAUAACAUGACCGUCAGAGCGGCUCUAAAUCAAGGCCGAACCCAAAAAGUGCCAAGAUCGGCCCGUGUCUGUCGAGUCGACUCCGUCCUGAACCUGCCCUCGACAUACUCAGUGAGGUGAAAACCUCUCAAAGUUUUUCUUUUUCUCAUUCGCCGUUUCUAAAGCGCAGGUGGGACGGUACAGGAAGCGACCAACAUUUGCUUUUAAUUGAACCACUGGAGCUUUUAAGUGACGCUUAAUGGAAAGAACCUGAAGGUUGCCGAAUCCAACAUGUGUGGCACAAAUGAGCGAAGUGUAAAAUGUAAUGACGGGAUAUCCGGGUUUGUUCGUUUUGGGGUCGUGAUGGAGGGGGUCUGCUUAGAUGUGGUCCUUCAUUGAGCGAAUGACAUAUGCUACUAACUAAAGGCAGCCAUUUUGUGAUCCCAUAUGGUGCCACAUAUGGGUCCCUUGUAGGCAUUGUACUCGUAUCAACCCAGUAAAUCUAUCAAAGUUUUGAUCUGGUGGCUGUAAAUGCCAUUUAGCAACUGUAUGGCUCAGUGUUUGAAAUGAAUGCUAUAAUACAUUCACAAAAGCUUUAAAACUGACUGAAGACUAACCUUUUUUGUAUACACUUCAUGUGUUGUUCCCUCGCUUGUAAGUCGAUUUAAAUUAAAGCAUUUGCUAAAUAAAUAAAUGUAAAUAAAGUCAUAC